CAGCAUCCUUAAUAAACCCCCUGGUUGCCGUUUGUGGUCUCUGGGACAAGAAAGGGUGCAAGAUCAACCUUAGAAUCAUCCAAAGCUGAGAGUUUAGUGUCAGUAGCUCUCGGUUAUUUCACCUCUAAGACAGAA
Molecule: small nucleolar RNA, 135 nt
Organism: Dicentrarchus labrax (European seabass)
Lineage: Eukaryota; Metazoa; Chordata; Actinopteri; Moronidae
Source: Ensembl